ACGAACGCUGGCGGCGUGCUUCACACAUGCAAGUCGAACGGAAAGGCCCUGCUUUUGUGGGGUGCUCGAGUGGCGAACGGGGGAGUAACACGUGAGUAACCUGCCCUUGACUUUGGGAUAACUUCAGGAAACUGGAGCUAAUACCGGAUAGGAGCUCCUGCUGCAUGGUGGGGGUUGGAAAGUUUCGGCGGUUGGGGAUGGACUCGCGGCUUAUCAGCUUGUUGGUGGGGUAGUGGCUUACCAAGGCUUUGACGGGUAGCCGGCCUGAGAGGGUGACCGGCCACAUUGGGACUGAGAUACGGCCCAGCCUCCUGCGGGAGGCAGCAGUGGGGAAUAUUGCACUAUGGGCGGAAGCCUGAUGCAGCCACGCCGCGUGCGGGAUGACGGCCUUCGGGUUGUAUACCGCUUUCGCCUGUGACGAAGCGUGAGUGACGGUAAUGGGUAAAGAAGCACCGGCUAACUACGUG
Molecule: ribosomal RNA, 467 nt
Filed under: uncultured bacterium
Lineage: Bacteria
Description: partial 16S ribosomal RNA
Rfam family: Bacterial small subunit ribosomal RNA
Source: RNAcentral